CUGAGUAAGGGCGUGCGGUGGAUGCCUUGACUCUAAAGGGCGAUGAAGGACGCGGCUUAGCUGCGAUACGCUUCGGG
Molecule: ribosomal RNA, 77 nt
Filed under: Candidatus Kaiserbacteria bacterium RIFCSPHIGHO2_02_FULL_49_16
Lineage: Bacteria; Candidatus Kaiseribacteriota
Description: partial 23S ribosomal RNA
Source: RNAcentral